AUAUAUAUAAAUUUGAAUAGAAAAUUUUAAUUGUUGUAUUUAAAUUUAAAGUUUAAAUUUAAAUUUUUAUUUUUUUGUAUGUGAGUCACAAUACUAAAAAAAAAAUUGGGAAAAAAAAAAGUUUACUCAUUGGUAAAAUGAACUUAGUUACUAUAAUAGAUAACAUGCUAGUUAUUAUUAAUUAAAAUUAAACAUUAUUAGAGUAUGUUUUCUAUGCUUUCGAAAGCACAGAAGUUUACGUAUUUGUAAGUUAUUUUCGAUAAUAAAACUUUCGAUUCGACGAUCAGUUUCAUUAGUGGGUCCCACAGAAAAAAGAUACAAAAAAAAAUUCGCUCCGCACCGGCUCGCGCGCGCUCCCGCUCGCCAGCAAUCCAUCAAAAUAAGAGAUUCGAAUUAAAAUUAAAAUUUUAAUUUAUAUUUAUAUUUAUUUUUAUAUUUAAAAUUUAAAUUUUUUGUAUGUGAGUUGCAAUACUACAUAAUAAAAACAAAAGUUAGAAAAGGAAAAAGAAGGAGAGAGAGAGAGAGAGAAGUGGAAGUUAGAAAAGAGCAAAAAAAGAAGAGAGAAAGAGAGAGAGGAGUGGAUCCACAGGAUAAAAAAAAAUUAAAAUGAGAGAGAAAAAAAGAGAGGAGCUGAAGUUAGAAAAGGAGAGAGAGAGAGAGAGAGAGAGAGAGAGAGAGAGAGAGAGAGAGAGAGAGUUGUGC
This 702-nucleotide long non-coding RNA is filed under the name Ananas comosus (pineapple). Its description in RNAcentral is "long non-coding RNA (ACOM_LNC002313)". Lineage: Eukaryota; Viridiplantae; Streptophyta; Magnoliopsida; Poales; Bromeliaceae. The record is from RNAcentral.